GUUUGAUCCUGGCUCAGGACGAACGCUGGCGGCGUGCUUAACACAUGCAAGUCGAACGAUGAUGCCCAGCUUGCUGGGUGGAUUAGUGGCGAACGGGUGAGUAACACGUGAGUAACCUGCCCCUGACUCUGGGAUAAGCGUUGGAAACGACGUCUAAUACUGGAUAUGAUCACCGGCCGCAUGGUCUGGUGGUGGAAAGAUUUAUUGGUUGGGGAUGGACUCGCGGCCUAUCAGCUUGUUGGUGAGGUAAUGGCUCACCAAGGCGACGACGGGUAGCCGGCCUGAGAGGGUGACCGGCCACACUGGGACUGAGACACGGCCCAGACUCUACGGGAGGCAGCAGUGGGGAAUAUUGCACAAUGGGCGAAAGCCUGAUGCAGCAACGCCGCGUGAGGGAUGACGGCCUUCGGGUUGUAAACCUCUUUUAGUAGGGAAGAAGCGAAAGUGACGGUACCUGCAGAAAAAGCACCGGCUAACUACGUGCCAGCAGCCGCGGUAAUACGUAGGGUGCAAGCGUUGUCCGGAAUUAUUGGGCGUAAAGAGCUCGUAGGCGGUUUGUCGCGUCUGCUGUGAAAUCCCGAGGCUCAACCUCGGCUUGCAGUGGGUACGGGCAGACUAGAGUGCGGUAGGGGAGAUUGGAAUUCCUGGUGUAGCGGUGGAAUGCGCAGAUAUCAGGAGGAACACCAAUGGCGAAGGCAGAUCUCUGGGCCGUAACUGACGCUGAGGAGCGAAAGCAUGGGGAGCGAACAGGAUUAGAUACCCUGGUAGUCCAUGCCGUAAACGUUGGGCGCUAGAUGUAGGGACCUUUCCACGGUUUCUGUGUCGUAGCUAACGCAUUAAGCGCCCCGCCUGGGGAGUACGGCCGCAAGGCUAAAACUCAAAGGAAUUGACGGGGGCCCGCACAAGCGGCGGAGCAUGCGGAUUAAUUCGAUGCAACGCGAAGAACCUUACCAAGGCUUGACAUACACCGGAAACGGCCAGAGAUGGUCGCCCCCUUGUGGUCGGUGUACAGGUGGUGCAUGGUUGUCGUCAGCUCGUGUCGUGAGAUGUUGGGUUAAGUCCCGCAACGAGCGCAACCCUCGUUCUAUGUUGCCAGCGGGUUAUGCCGGGGACUCAUAGGAGACUGCCGGGGUCAACUCGGAGGAAGGUGGGGAUGACGUCAAAUCAUCAUGCCCCUUAUGUCUUGGGCUUCACGCAUGCUACAAUGGCCGGUACAAAGGGCUGCGAUACCGUAAGGUGGAGCGAAUCCCAAAAAGCCGGUCUCAGUUCGGAUUGAGGUCUGCAACUCGACCUCAUGAAGUCGGAGUCGCUAGUAAUCGCAGAUCAGCAACGCUGCGGUGAAUACGUUCCCGGGCCUUGUACACACCGCCCGUCAAGUCAUGAAAGUCGGUAACACCCGAAGCCGGUGGCCUAACCCUUGUGAAGGAGCCGUCGAAGGUGGGAUCGGUGAUUAGGACUAAGUCGUAACAAGGUAGCCGUACCGGAAGGUGCGGCUGGAUCACCUC
This 1505-nucleotide ribosomal RNA is filed under the name Curtobacterium sp. VKM Ac-1376. RNAcentral describes it as "bacterial SSU rRNA". It matches the Rfam family "Bacterial small subunit ribosomal RNA". Lineage: Bacteria; Bacillati; Actinomycetota; Actinomycetes; Micrococcales; Microbacteriaceae. The record is from RNAcentral.